Molecule: ribosomal RNA, 261 nt
Filed under: uncultured archaeon
Lineage: Archaea
Description: partial 16S ribosomal RNA
Rfam family: Archaeal small subunit ribosomal RNA
Source: RNAcentral
CAGCCGUAAACAAUGUGCGUUAGGUGUGUCGGUAACCACGUGUUACUGAUGCGCCGAAGAGAAAUCGUGAAACGCACCACCUGGGAAGUACGGUCGCAAGGCUGAAACUUAAGGGAAUUGGCGGGGGAGCACCACAACAGGUGGAGCCUGCGGUUUAAUUGGAUUCAACGCCGGACAUCUCACCGGAUAAGACAGCUGAAUGAUUGUCAAUCUGAAGGUUUUACAUGACUAGCUGAGAGGAGGUGCAUGGCGUCAGUGACU